This 8033-nucleotide long non-coding RNA is filed under the name Zostera marina. RNAcentral's name for it is "long non-coding RNA (ZMAR_LNC000215)". Lineage: Eukaryota; Viridiplantae; Streptophyta; Magnoliopsida; Alismatales; Zosteraceae. The record is from RNAcentral.
UUUCUGUGGCUGGAACGUAUCUGCCUCAUUGUCUUCCUCCUCUACGAAUUCUUCUCCUACAGUGCUGGAUCCAGUGAUGAAGAGAUCCACAUCAGAGAGGUACUUGACAGAUUUAAACCCACUGAUAAUUCCAUUGACAUCGUGAAUAAUCCUUUGCAAUUUCGUAUAGGCUUCCAUCGGACUCAACUUUAACUCUGUGAUCAAUCGAUCGAUCUUGUUGAGGACGAGACAAGGAGUCAACUUCUCAAUCCAUGCCUGACGGAGAGCAGCAUGGGUUUGGAUAUGAACACCUUCGACGGAAACAACCAGAACCAAAGCCCCAUCACUUAAUCUGGCGGCAGUGGACACCUCGCUGCAGAAGUCGAUGUGUCCAGGGGAAUCAAUAAGGUUUAUGGAAUGUUCACCGUAUUUCAAUAAAAUAGAAGAGCUUUUCAUUGUGAUGGCUCGCCGUUGUUCCGCGGAACUCGAUCGCGGUUCCGCGGAACUCGAUCGCGGUUCCGCGGAACUCGAUCGCGGUUCCGCGGAAUCGGAAUCGGACCGCCGUGGAAUCGGAAUCGGAACGACGCGGAAUCGGAACGUCGUGGAAUCGGAAUCGGAACGACGCGAAAUCGGAAUCGGAACCGGAACCGUACGGAUCGAGGAGGGGAACGCACGGUGCGGACGGGCCGUGCCAGAUGUUUUUCCUAUAUAUAUAUACGUGUCUAUAUUUAUAUUUGUUUAAGAUGAAUGUCUAUAUACAAUUUCCAUUCUCAUAUAUACGUGUAUUAGGUCGUGGUAGGGGUGAGAAUGGUCCCGGGUCACCCCUUAGACCCGUCUCGUACGUUCCGUGUCUUGGUGGGAACAGGAUCGAGGUAGGAUUUUGCCCCGAAUUUUUUUUCCCGCCUUGUUGCUCCGGUCAUUUUAUGGAGCAGGUGUUAGGGCAGGGAAAACUAUAAUUUUCCUUUUAUUUUUAGCCUCGAUCAUAUUUUCGAGGGCGGGUCUCAGAGCUUGUAAAUGGUACAUCAAAAUUUGAAUUCGAGUUUGAAUUUUUUUAAAACUAUUUGAAUUUGGUUAUUCAAAUUUCAAAUGCGAAUUCAGUUUUCAAUUUUUGAAUCCGUGAAAUAUUUGGUCGAAUAUACGAAUUCAAUUCAACAAUUUGAGGUAUUAGACAUCUCAACUAAUGAUCAUAUAAUACAAAACACACCAAAAAAAGAGAAACAGUCCUCAAUCAACAAUGACCCAAUAACAUCAUUGGUGACUAAGAUAAGUAUCUCAGACAAACAAAAACAUUAUGAAAAAUCUACUAGUCCAAAAUAGCAAACAAAAACACUCUUCUGGACUAAUUAGAGAAUGAGAAGAACAUAUCCAAAUCUGAAUUGGGAGAGAAAAUUAAAAGCACAAAGAUGUCAAAAACAUUAAAAUCAAAAAGGUGAGAAGACCCUUCAAAAAGACCAACUAAAUAUGAUGAUAUCUAUUGUCCUAGUUUCAAAGAAACCAGAAAAUGAAAGUAUAUCAAAUCACAGGUUUAAUGAAAAACAUAAAGAUUUUGUGAAAACAAUCACAAAAGAAACAAAAUCAAAACAUUACCAUCAUGCCAAGUGUUACCCAAAAUGGCGUCAGACUAUGAAUGAGGAAAUGUUGGCUCUUAAAAAGAACAACAUAUGUUCCAUAUAUAGUACCGUUACCAUCUAACAAAAAGCCCAUAGGCUCAAGAUGGAUAAAAUAAAAUACAAAUCUGAUGAGACCAUUGAGAGAUACAAAGCUCGACUACUAACCAACUCAAUACCCAAACUAGUAUCAUUCAAAACACUAUUAACCAUAGUGGAAGACUUAAAUGAAGCUCCAUCAAAUGGAUGUAUACAAUGCAUUCUUGCGCACAUGAAGACCCAAAUGAGGAAAUAUAUAUGAUUAUAGCCCAAAUGCAUGUUCUGGAUUUUUAUGGCCAAAAGAUUUUUCAUUUUUCACAACACACCAUAAGACCAAAAACUGAUUCUUUCAACAUGCAAGGAGUAGCUCUUAAAUGAUUUUUAUGGAUGGAGUCCAGCAACUAUCUGACUACAUGGCUUGCAUUUGUCAAGUCUAUAUUAAAGAAAUUUAAUCCAACUACAUGCACCACUCCAGGUGGAAAACUCAGUAAAUUUGUUUCAAACAUCAACAGUUGCUGAUUUCAUGGAGAAAUUUGAAGAUUACUCAUCAAAAGUAAUAGGAAUCCCUGAUUAGCUAUUAUUAAAAUGUUCCUAUCAUGCCCAAAGGAUGAUAUUCAAAAAGAUGUAGUGACACAGCAAAACUUGAAGAUUUACCAGAGGCUAUGAUCAAGGUGGCUAUUCAUCUUGAAAAACAGGGAACAAGAAGCACUUCAACCUUCAAACAAGGAGGAUACAAAUCCAUCCAUGAAAGGCAAUAUAUACUACACCAAGAAUAAUAUUAAGUGAGUAUAUAACUCUAAUAUGGCCAGCAACACAAUCACCAACACUCCCAAAACAGAAAAUCUAAACCCAAAUUUCAAGAGCCUCACAUUUGCUGAGAGAAAAAAAAGAACUUCCAAAGGGUUAUGCUUUAAUUAUGAUGAAAAAUUCUCACCGAGACACAAAUGUAGAGGAAAAUUAUUCAGAUUUUCAGAUAAAAACAACACCUUCUGAGAACUAGCAGAUACAGAUGAAGGAGAAGAAGAAGCUGGAAUUAAAAUUCUGAAGAUCGAGGAAGAGUCUGAAAUCAGCCUUCAAGCAUUACAGGGAAGAAUUGGCAUAAUAAACAUCAGACUGGAAGGCUUCAUCAAAAGCUUUAAGACAGACCUUUCAAUCAAAAUGGAACAUACACAAGAAUGGUGGUAGGAUAUUGGAAUAUUAAAAUACAAAUCACUUCUUACUUUCUUUGUAGAUCUUAGAAGAUUAGAAGUACAAGUGUUGAACCGUAGAUCUCGAUCUUUUUGAAAGCUUUUUGGUGCUAGACCACAACUUGAGGGAUGAAUGAUUGAACUCAAAGAUUGAAGAUUUGAAGAGAGUUUGGAAGCUCAAAAACGUUGUAGUGUGUUGGCUUCAAAUGAUGAAAGUUUCCCUCUAUUUAUAGAAAAAUAAAUUCUUCAAAUGAUGUAGUGUGUCACUUGAUUGAAGUUUGGUUUGAGCAGUCUUGACUUUUAGAUUUUUGAACAACGGUUUUAUGUUUUCUCGCUACAGUCCAAAAACAAUUGACUUUUGAGAUUUCUUUUUUUAAUUGCCUAGGAAAUUGAUUCCUUUUGAAUAAGAGAAUGUCGGUUGACCGCAUAUUGGAUUUUGACUUUUGGCGAAUCGAAUACCUAAGUUUUUGGUUCGGUUCGUAUAAAUAAACAAGCCUACUCUUAGAUUUGAGUUCGUUUCCGAACCUAAUUCGAACUGAAUUCGAACUGAAUCCGAAACGAACCGAAUAGUUCGUCGAAUACCGAACUUUUGUUGCAAUUAUGGUAAAUUAAAUACAAUAUCAAUUUCUGCAUCUUGUAGAGAGAGAUUCCCCCUCUUUUCUCUAUAACAUAUUAUUCACUAUUAAUGAUCCAAUAAUAGUACUAUAUAAUCCAAGCUAUCUUAAUCAUAAUGAUCAAAAAAUCCCAGAGGCCCACUCCUUUUUUUUUCCACCUACUCUACUAAGGGUGAGAAUAGAUCCCGAUCCGUCCCGUUUCACGUCCCGAUCGUCAAGACAGAAAAGUAGGGUACCUGACCGGUCCGUUUUGGAAAAACGGGACGGGACCACCCCACCCCACCCGCGAUUCGUCCCAUUCUCAUCUCUACCUACUACGUACUCAAUAAUUGGAUCAAUGCUUCUUCAAUCUCGAUAAAAUAUAUUAUUUAUGAUUCAAAUGAUAGAGAUAUUUUAAAAACUUUACAAAAUUUAGAUUUUUUAUUCAAUUUGUGUAAGUUAAAAUUCAAGUUCGAACCCAAGCUUGUCGAUUUUGCUAAUGAAACGAGUGGUUGAGGAAUUGUCCAGGAAGAUAAAACCUUAUGGUUUUACUAGUUUUUCAUUUCUUCUUUCCUCUUCAAUUAUUCAGACCACUUGGACAUAUUCCGAGCCACAUACAAAUUCAGAAAUUUGUACCUAAUUCAACUAUAAAUAGAUGAAGAUUGUAGUGUUCUUCACCAUCAAUUGCGAAAACUUAAAUUCUAUGGAGAAAGAAGAAGCAAGGCUUGUGGGUUUUUCGGCAAGUCCAUUUGUGUUAAGAACAAUAAUAGCCUUGAAGAUCAAAGGAAUUCCAUAUGAGUUUGUUGACGGAGAUAAGAGAAACGAGUUUCCAACACUUCUUCACGCUGGUAAUGUCGUAUCAAAGUCUUUCAAAAUAGUUGAGUACCUUGAUGCAACAUGGAAGGCCGAGGAUCGCCCUCUCAUCUUGCCGGUCGAUCCUUACGACCGUACUAUUGUGCGAUUUUGGGCUACAUAUAUUGAUGACAAGGUAUAUAAUUAUGUAAGCAUUUAUAUUUUAGUUAGAUAUGCAAACAUGUUUGUAAGUCUUUUUUACCCAUCUAGUUAAUUAAGGUAGAUAAAAACCCGAACCAAGACUUUUAGUUUCGAUUUGGUUCAACGAUCUUAUAAUUAAAUUUUUAGACCCAAAAUCUUAUAAUUAAAUCAUAAUUAAAUUAAGUUUAAAAAGUAAUAAUCUAUUAAAUGUUAUUAAUUUAAAUCAGUGACAUGAUUUUUUACCGGUUAAAAGAUAAGAAAGACCGACCGAGGUUUUUCACCCCAACUCAUAUCUUAAAAGUACAUCCUCUAAAGAUACGUAUGAUCAAUAUGGGAUAGGUAGAGUAGAAAAUAUAAAAUGAAAAUAAUGUAGGUAAACUAGCUUUAGGACUGGGGGCAAAUGCACAUCACCAAAAUUUAAGGUUUAGAGGGGAGUAGUAUAUAUGUUCAAUCUACCUUCUUUUUGAAAAUCAAUAAAUUUACAACUGAUUUCAAAUUAAAAAAAAUACUAAUUUCAAUUAGUGGGAUCCACCUGCGGAAUUGGUCCUAGCUAGAUUAACAAUUUAAUGGUUAUGGGCUUGGUCUGUUUUAGAAACAAACUAGUUCUAAUUAAAACCAGCAAACCAUGCCCAUUAUGCAAAUUCACCUAUAUCUAUUAUAAAUCAAUUCUACCCAGAAUUCCAUGAUUAUUUAUUUAUUUACUUAUUUUUCUUGCAGAUUUUAUCGGCCAUGAAAUUGAUAAUAAAAGGAUCGACAAAGAAGAUUGAAGAAGAAUUUCAUGAGGCAAUGCAGGUUUUGGAAAGUGUUUUCAAAAAUGAAAGUCAAGGUCAAAGCUUCUUUGCAAAGGGAAAUAUCGGAUAUAUUGACAUAUCUUUGGGGUCAAUAUUGGGUUGGAUGAAAGUUGUUGAGAAAUCAAAGAAUAUUAGGUUACUGGAUGAGAGGAAGACGCCUAUGUUGGUGAAUUGGGCUGAACAAUUCCAAGCUCACGAAGUUGUCAAGGGAAUGAUACCCGAACCAGACAAGUUGUCUAAGACAAUUGAUGAAAAAACAAUAGACGAUUCCAAACAACAAGAUGAAAUUGAUCGAGCAUUUAUCUAUGCUAGGCAAUUGACGUUCAAUCAUGCUCUCUCAAUGACCUUGAAAGUUGUCAUUGAACUGGGUGUGCUUGAUGUUAUUGCGAAUGCUGGUUUCGACAAAUUCCUCUCCCCAAAAGAGAUAGCAAGUGAAUUAUCGAUUGUCAACCCUGAUGCUCCCAUCAUGCUCAAUCGCAUGCUUAGACUACUUGCCAGCCACAAUAUCGUCAUCUGCAAAUCAAAAUCAUAUAGUAAUUGUGAUGAAAACACCAUAGUUGGUACUACGUUAUAUGGUAUUGGCCCUAUAUCUAAGUAUUUUGUCAAAAAUGAGGAUGGUGUUUCACUAGCUCCCAUGCUUGCCGCAAUCCAAGAUAAGGUUUACAUGAAAAGUUGGUAAGCUAUUUUUUUAUCAUCUUUAAUUCAACUUUAAGAAAUCAAUCAUAACAUGUUAUAUUUAUAGGAAAACAUAAGAUAGUUUGAGACAUUUGAAACUAGGCCGUCCAUUUGAGAUAUGUAUCAUAUUAUACUUAUAUUUAAUCAUAUUAUACUUAUAUUUAAUCAUAUUAAAGAAACCAUUAGAUUUAAAAUUAACGACAGAAAUAUUGAAGAUAUCUCUUAUAAUAUCUCAAGAUUUUUUUUAUAGGUACUACUUGAAAGAAGCAGUGAUGACAGGUGGUAUUCCAUUCAACAUGGCGUACGGAAUGUCAGCUUUUGAGUAUCAUAGUAUAGAUGUGAGGUUCAAUAAUCUAUUUAAUAAAGCAUUUUUUAAUAUGACAAUCCUUAUGAAGAAAAUUCUUCAUUUAUAUAAUGGAUUUGAGAGUAUCAACAAAUUGGUUGAUGUUGGUGGGGGCACUGGAGCCAAUCUAAACAUCAUAAUCUCGCAACAUCCAACCAUAAAGGGUGUCAACUUCGACCUUCCUCAUGUCAUCAAAAAUGCCCCCUUAUUUAAAGGUAACAUAAUAUAUCCAGAAUCAGUAUAUAAUUGAAUGUUUUGCGGAAACUAAUUAUGUAUGAUUGUGUUCUGUUUUACAGGAGUGAAACAUGUUGGCGGAGACAUGUUUGAGAAGGUUCCUAGUGGUGAUGCCAUUUUUAUGAAGGUAUAUAUCUUAAACUGGCCUUUAAUUUUCCAUAUAUUGAUUCUAACCCAGAUAAGUACAUCACUGUUUUGUUUUAUGCAGUUUAUCCUACAUGAUUGGAGCGACGAUCAUUGUGUGAAGUUAUUGAAGAAUUGUUGGAAACAACUUCCAAAAAAUGGAAUGGUUAUCGUCUGUGAAUUUACUAUUCCCGUUGAACCACAAGAAGAUAAUUCAGCUUUCUAUAGUGAUAUGUCGAUGUUGACACUAAAUCCGGGAGGUAAGGAGAGGACUGAAAGUGAAUAUAGUUUACUGGCGAAGAAAGCAGGAUUUGUCGAUUUCAAAGUUGCAUGUGAUGUAUAUGGAAUGUACAUCAUGGAAUUCAGUAAGUAGUUGCACGCCCAAAUUUCUUCCUUAUGUGGAAAUACUAAAUAAAAUUAAAGCUUAUAUACACAACUUGAUUAGUCCAGUUGGUAACUAUCACUAUUAAGGUGGACGAACUGUUAAAGGUCCAGGGUUUGAGUCUCAAUGUAUGUAUUUUAAUUUAUAUUUACUUUUGUAUCAGUUUAUCAAAAAAUAAAAAUGUUUGCAAUAUAUAUAUAUAGAGAAAAAAUCAGGAACGACCCUGAUCGCACGGUGCCCUAAAACGGUACCUGCCCCCUCCGCCUUGCGAUUCCACAUCCACGGUCGUCUCCUCUCCAAGCCAACGUAUCUACCGAUGGCCAAUCUACCUCUAACAGAGUAAUGUGAGAUACUGUCAGUAACUGCGAUUUCGGUCCCGCAACAGAGUAACUGCGAUUUCGGUUCCGCGGAACCCAUCGCGAGUUCCGCGGAACUCGAUCGCGGUUCUGCGGAACUCGAUUUCGCAGAACCGGAACCGAAAUCGCGAUAGUGAGGGCCUCUGACACUGGCAGUGUGCCGGAAACGAAUCUUGCUGCGAAGAAGCCAAAGAUCUUAGUUGCCGGAGGCGGAAUCGGUGGGUUGGUUUUCGGUUUGAGUACCAACUGCACAAACAUCGGUUGGUGUUCUUUUCCACCACUGGAAGCCUCAAUUGCUUUUUUCCCAACAAUCAUCUUGGUUUUGUGGUUGAAAUAACGCAGACCCCAAAGACCUUUAUUCAGAGCAGUUGAACUCGCACCCAAUUUUGAUGCAUACAUCUCUGCAAACUGAGCAAUGCCGAAUCCCCAACCAUCUAGCGCACAGACGAAGACCACAUUUCCUUUCUGUGGCUGGAACGUAUCUGCCUCAUUGUCUUCCUCCUCUACGAAUUCUUCUCCUACAGUGCUGGAUCCAGUGAUGAAGAGAUCCACAUCAGAGAGGUACUUGACAGAUUUAAACCCACUGAUAAUUCCAUUGACAUCGUGAAUAAUCCUUUGCAAUUUCAUAUAGGCUUCCAUCGGACUCAACUUUAACUCUGUGAUCAAUCGAUCGAUCUUGUUGAGGACGAGACAAGGAGUCAACUUCUCAAUCCAUGCCUGACGGAGAGCAG